This is a non-coding RNA of Myotis brandtii (Brandt's bat), 164 nucleotides long. The record is from Rfam. Lineage: Eukaryota; Metazoa; Chordata; Mammalia; Chiroptera; Vespertilionidae.
AUGCUUACCUGUCAUGGGAAAUACCAUGAUCACCAAGGUGUUUUUCCCAGGGGGAGCCUUAUCCAUUGCAUUCUGCAUAUGCUGACCCCUGUGAUUUCCCCAAAUGUGGGAAAUUCGACUGCAUAAUUUGUGGUAGUGGAGGACUGCGUUCUCGCUCACACCUA